RNAcentral lists this ribosomal RNA (482 nucleotides) under uncultured bacterium. RNAcentral describes it as "partial 16S ribosomal RNA". It matches the Rfam family "Bacterial small subunit ribosomal RNA", at positions 29 to 507 of the family's 1533-position model. The record is from RNAcentral.
AUUGAACGCUGGCGGCAUGCCUUACACAUGCAAGUCGAACGGUAACGGGCCUUCGGGUGCCGACGAGUGGCGAACGGGCGAGUAAUACAUCGGAACGUGCCCGAACGUGGGGGAUAACGAGGCAAAAGCUUUGCUAAUACCCCAUACGUACUACGGCUGAAAGGAGGGGACAGCAAGGCCUUGCGCGGACGGGGCGGGCGAGGGCCGCUUAGGCAGUUGGUGGGAUAAAAGCUUACCAAGCCGACGAUUGGUAGCGGGUCUGAAAGGAGGAUCAGCCACACUAGGACUGAGACACGGCCCAGACUACUACGGGAGGCAGCAGAGGGGAAUGUUGGACAAGGGGCGGAAGCCUAAUCCAGCCAUGCCGCGUGCAGGAUGAAGGCCUGCGGGUUGUAAAUUUCUUCUGUACGGAACGAAAAGCCUUCUUUUAAUACAGGAGGGUCAUGACGGUACCGUAAGAAUAAGCACCGGCUAACUACGUG